RNAcentral lists this transfer RNA (77 nucleotides) under Ruminococcus flavefaciens. RNAcentral describes it as "tRNA-Arg". It matches the Rfam family "tRNA". From Rfam's summary of the family: Transfer RNA (tRNA) molecules are approximately 80 nucleotides in length. Their secondary structure includes four short double-helical elements and three loops (D, anti-codon, and T loops). The record is from RNAcentral. RNAcentral also lists the same sequence under 3 other names. Lineage: Bacteria; Bacillati; Bacillota; Clostridia; Eubacteriales; Oscillospiraceae.
GUCCCAAUAGCUCAGUAGGAUAGAGCGGCUGCCUCCUAAGCAGCAGGCCGGAGGUUCGACUCCUCUUUGGGACGCCA